AUGUCAACAACUCCGGCAACUUGCAUCCAAUAUACGACGGCGACGCCCAAACAAUCGAAGGCGCAAAGAAACGCCCACCAAAUUGAAGACACGGCAUCAACACCAUCAACCUCAGAGAUGACUGUCCAGCAUACGUCAGCCCCAGCAGCUCAUCAUACAAAAAGAAAGGAAGAACAACCUCUAAACUCAAGGAGCACAAAGCGGACAAGGACUGCAGAGGGAAGAAGAAAUACGAACACAGAGGCUCCUAAACGAUUAAGAAAGGAUAGUGCUGAAGAAGAUAAGGAAUUGAAGUGUGCAAGAAGCGGAAGCAACAAAAACAACAUCAAAAUCAAUGUUGGAGACAACAACAGAACCACAGCCUCGACAAAAGCUAAUAGAAAGGCAUGGAACUUCGGAAGGCCAACAUACAAAUGCCAGUAUUGCAAAGCAUUGCUAUGGUGUGAAGAAAGAUUAAAUUCAAACAAAGGAACUAAGACACCCUCUUUUGGAAUAUGCUGCAAACAGGGAAAAAUCGACCUGCCACCACUAAGAGAGCCUCCACCAUACCUCAGAAAUCUCUUAAGAAGUGAAGGACAGGAUUCAGUAAACUUCAAAGAAAAUAUAAGGUCAUACAACUCAAUGUUUUCAUUCACAUCCAUGGGAGGAGUUGUGGACAAGGAAAUAAACACUCGCAAAGGACCUUAUGUUUUUCGUUUGCAUGGACAGAAUUACCACCAUAUCGGAACUCUUUUACCUGAAGGUACAAACAAACCUCGGUUUGCACAGCUGUACAUCUAUAAUACCGAAAAUGAGGUGGCAAACAGGAUAAGUGCAUCAAGAUGCAAUGAUAAUAAAUCAACAGUGGACCCCAACAUUGUCAAAGAAUUGCAAAUAAUGCUCGACGACAACAACAUCCUCGCAAAAACAUUCAGAAUGGCAAGAGAUAGAUUCCAAGAAGGAGACUACCAUGAUUACACACUUCGGAUACUAGGAAAAAGGAACGGAACACACAACCUUCCAUCCGCAUCUGAAGUUGCAGCAUUGGUAGUAAGAGAUCCAACUGGAGAGAGUGAAGGACGUGACAUUGUUGUUGAGUACAAAAAUAUGGUGCCACAAAGGAUAUCAGAGAUCCACCCGAAAUUCAUGUCCAUGCAAUAUCCGUUAUUGUUCCCAUAUGGAGAAGAUGGUUUUAAACUUGAGAUACCGUACAAGAAAACAAAAGGAGCUAAAAACAGCAGGAAAUACGUAACGUUGUUGGACUACUAUGCAUUCUACCUACAGCAACGUCCAGACCAAGGAAUGUUAUUGCUCAAGUCUGGGCAUCUGUCACUGCAAUUUUGGGUGGAUGUAUACACAUGUAUCGAGCAAAAUAGACUAAACUGGAUCCGACACAAUCAAGGAAAGCUAAGAACUGAAAUUUACAAUGGAUUGCAGGAUGCAAUUAAGCGAGGGGACACAAGAACAGAGCAGGUUGGAAAGAGGAUAAUUGUGCCUUCAUCUUUUACAGGUGGUAGAAGGAACAAGGCACAAUACUUGCAAGAUGCAUUCGCAAUAUGUCGUUGGGCUGGAUACCCAGACCUGUUUAUAACAUUCACAUGCAAUGCAAAGUGGCCUGAGAUCCAAUACAUGCUAGAUGAAGCGGGAGGUGACCAAAAGCCAGCCGAUCGGCCAGAUAUUUUGGACAGAGUAUUUAUGAUAAAACUAAAGGAGCUAAUGAGAGACAUAAAAGAGAAGAAAUACUUUGGAGAAACACUUGCAAUUAUCUACCAAUAG
RNAcentral lists this ribosomal RNA (1755 nucleotides) under Triticum aestivum (bread wheat). Its description in RNAcentral is "partial small subunit ribosomal RNA". The record is from RNAcentral. Lineage: Eukaryota; Viridiplantae; Streptophyta; Magnoliopsida; Poales; Poaceae.